GACGAACGCUGGCGGCGUGCUUAACACAUGCAAGUCGAACGGUAAGGCCCUUCGGGGUACACGAGUGGCGAACGGGUGAGUAACACGUGGGUGAUCUGCCCUGCACUUCGGGAUAAGCCUGUGAACCUGGGUCUAAUACCGGAUAGGACCCUGGGAUGCAUGUCCUGGGGUGGAAAGCUUUUGCGGGGUGGGAUGGGCCCGCGGCCUAUCAGCUUGUUGGUGGGGUGAUGGCCUACCAAGGCGACGACGGGUAGCCGGCCUGAGAGGGUGACCGGCCACACUGGGACUGAGAUACGGCCCAGACUCCUACGGGAGGCAGCAGUGGGGAAUAUUGCACAAUGGGCGCAAGCCUGAUGCAGCGACGCCGCGUGAGGGAUGACGGCCUUCGGGUUGUAAACCUCUUUCAGCACCGACGAAGCGCAAGUGACGGUAGGUGCAGAAGAAGGACCGGCCAACUACGUGCCAGCCGCCGCCGUAA
Molecule: ribosomal RNA, 478 nt
Filed under: uncultured bacterium
Lineage: Bacteria
Description: partial 16S ribosomal RNA
Rfam family: Bacterial small subunit ribosomal RNA
Source: RNAcentral